GGCCUCCCUCUGUGGGGCGAUUGAUCAUGGGACCCCCAGAUAGAUUGCCGUGCAGAGGGAGGCC
RNAcentral lists this microRNA precursor (64 nucleotides) under Myotis lucifugus (little brown bat). RNAcentral's name for it is "mir-9242 microRNA precursor family". It matches the Rfam family "mir-9242 microRNA precursor family". Lineage: Eukaryota; Metazoa; Chordata; Mammalia; Chiroptera; Vespertilionidae. The record is from Rfam by way of RNAcentral.